Molecule: ribosomal RNA, 492 nt
Filed under: uncultured bacterium
Lineage: Bacteria
Description: partial 16S ribosomal RNA
Rfam family: Bacterial small subunit ribosomal RNA
Source: RNAcentral
AGUGAACGCUGGCGGUAGGCCUAACACAUGCAAGUCGAACGGCAGCACAGUAUGCGCUCGCUCUUAGGGGUGGCGAGGGGCGGGCGGGGGAGGAGUACAUCGGAAUCUACUUUUUCGUGGGGGAUAACGUCGGGAAUCUUACGCUAAUACCGCAUACGACCUACGGGUGAAAGCAAGGGGCCUUCGGCCCUUGCGCGAUUGGAUGAGCCGAUGUCGGAUUAGCUAGUUGGCGGGGUAAAGGCCCACCAAGGCGACGAUCCGUAGCUGGUCUGAGAGGAUGAUCAGCCACACUGGAACUGAGACACGGUCCAGACUCCUACGGGAGGCAGCAGUGGGGAAUAUUGGACAAUGGGGGCAAGCCUGAUCCAGCCAUACCGCGUGGGUGAAGAAGGCCUUCGGGUUGUAAAGCCCUUUUGUUGGGGAAGAAAAGCUGUAGGCUAAUACCCCGCUGUUCUGACGGUACCCAAAGAAUAAGCACCGGCUAACUUCGUG